CAGCAGCCACGGUAAUACAGAGGGUGCGAGCGUUAAUCGGAUUUACUGGGCGUAAAGCGUGCGUAGGCGGCUUCUUAAGUCGGAUGUGAAAUCCCUGAGCUUAACUUAGGAAUUGCAUUCGAUACUGGGAAGCUAGAGUAUGGGAGAGGAUGGUAGAAUUCCAGGUGUAGCGGUGAAAUGCGUAGAGAUCUGAAGGAAUACCGAUGGCGAAGGCAGCCAUCUGGCCUAAUACUGACGCUGAGGUACGAAAGCAUGGGGAGCAAACAGGAUUAGAUACCCCCGUAGUCCCUGUCUCUUAUAC
Molecule: ribosomal RNA, 301 nt
Filed under: uncultured bacterium
Lineage: Bacteria
Description: partial 16S ribosomal RNA
Rfam family: Bacterial small subunit ribosomal RNA
Source: RNAcentral